Molecule: long non-coding RNA, 31981 nt
Organism: Dromaius novaehollandiae (emu)
Lineage: Eukaryota; Metazoa; Chordata; Aves; Casuariiformes; Dromaiidae
Exons: 3
Source: RefSeq, a predicted model, not a curated record
UGCAAAGCUAUUAGUAGUUUGUAAAUAUUUACUUAGCAGCAUCAGGACAUUUCAGCUUAUUUCUUUUCCCAUGAACCAUUUGUCCUUAAUAUCUUUUUAUUGUUAUUCCUGCCGCCUGAUCAGUCCCCUAAAUUGCCAACCGCUGUCUCUGUUCUGUUUCCUCGCUGACACUUUUUAGGCAGUUGACUUUCUUGCACAUGGUUUUGCCUGAUAAAACUUGGUUCUAGAAGCCCUGAAAGCAGGGCUGAAUGGUAAACAUUUUCCAUGCCCUCGCAAUGCUUAUGACUAGAAAAUAGUAAUAAUAGUAUAAUGUUCCCUGAGGAAAGAGCAACAAAAAGUGGUAUAUUUCCAAAUCAGCUUGUCCGCUCAGAAGCACUAAAGCAGAGGCAACAAGAAGUGAAUAAUUCAACAAAUGCCUGGACUAAAGUAACCGUAACUCUUGGAGGGAAGUGGGUCUACCUCUGUUGGGAAAAAGAAAAUGUAAGACGGGUACAUUGGGUUCAGCAAACCUCAAGGGCUCUUUUUCUCAAACCAGGUCAUGCGUAUAUGACACCUGGAAGGAUGUUUUUUGCUUUUAUCACCCUGCUAUCUGCACCCAGGCAGCUCCGUCUUGAGUCGUGCCGUGCCCAUAGUGCUGCAGGGGCCGGCGAUCAGGGCCUUUGCCCUGUCUUGGAUCCGCAGCAGUAGGAUGACAGGCAGGAGAGCUCUGAUAUCCAGCCUGACUCUGUAAUUCACUGGCCCUACAUAUUCCCCAGAAUAUUUCUUAUUUAUCAUACCUGGCUCGUUUCCUAGGACUGAGUCCAAAACUGCUUCGGAUCUUGACGGCUGGAGUAUCAGUGUAAAUACAGCGUGCUGUACUCCCUCCAAGAGCAGUCCCCAACGAGUCGGCUGUGGUUGUCCCAGACAAUAGCGCGAUAUUAAGAUCCCCCAUUAUCAAUGGUUUGACUUUUAAAAAGCUGUCUGCAUAAACAAAGCCUAUUUAGUUUGUGAUUGUGCCCUGGAGAACGUCCUACAAUCACUUUCAUUUCCCCUUUUGCCUUCAAGGGGAGAGUUUGUCCUAGCGGUGAGAGCCGAGACUGGGAGCCGUGGCCUGGAUCUAUUCCCGGCUGAGCUAUUACUUUGCUGUGUGGCCCUGGCCGUGGCGUGGCAUUUUUGUUCUUCAGUUCAUUCAACUAAAUAAUGAAUAUUCUGUCUGGAAAUUGUUGAGAGAGACUCUUGUCCCUAUAGAGAACUGCACAAGAACAACUGGAUAAAUGGUAAUACGAUGGAAAUGAAAAUUUAAUAGAAUUAAAUUGAAAACAAAAUUAAAAAACCACAAACUUUAUUUCUUAAAGAAGUGCAAUACAACCUGACUUUAAGAUCUUCGAUUACUGAUAAUGGGCACCCAUUCCUUUUUGCUAGCCAUCCAUAGAAUAAAUUCUGCUUUAUUCUCUUGGUUCUGCUAUGACAAAUCACGUUUUGUGGAAGGCCACCACUUGCCAUGCAAAUUUUUGCUUCCUUCACAGCAGAGUCUUACAUAGAAGUUUUGUCUAUCCUAAAUUAUAUUCUCUCCCAUCCUUAACAAAGGAUUGGGGCCUUUUACAGUAGGGCCAAUAUUUUAAAACAUUUGGAUAUCCUAUAUUCUUUGCUUAGGUACUGAAGGCAGUGGAACAGCCCUUUCCCUGAACGACAUGCACUGGUGAAAAGCAUCCUUUGCCCUGCCAGCUCCACGGCCGGGAGUCCCGUCACCCACCCGGCUGGUCUGCAGCAGCUCUCCAAGUCGCCUUCUCUCUCCUAGCAGAGAUGAGCUUCUCUAAGUGAUACCCGAGACUUCUAGUCAGCAUUUCAUUAUAGGAUUUCCUCAACUGAAAGGACGCGUGCCAAAUUAACACUUUUCCUGGGGCCAUGACCAUACAUGGGGACCAUUUUGUAGCGAGAAGCUUUGGCACUUUUUCCCCUCAUUAGCACUGGUAGUUAAUUUGCUCUUCCCCGUUAGUCACUGCUGUUGUCAGAUUUGUUUCAUCAUCCUCCAAUCGCUCCUGUACGUGUACUUGUAAUCGGCUGAGUGGGAGUGCUCGCCCCUGGGGAACAUACUAUUUCACGUGUGCCGCCUCUGUUUCCCAGCCGGGGACAUAGCAUUGCCCGGCUCUUGGCAAGUGGUCUGCAAUGCAGCUGUCCUUACCCAUAUGUCUCUUCAGGAAACCUUUCUUAUUUGCGCGGUCCAUUUAUUUAUCUCCUAAGGUACGAGAAAGAUUUCAGCGCUGUGGGUUUGUUUGCAUUGCUCCCACAGAGAAAGAGAAUUUCCUGCUUCCUGUGAGGGAAGGUUUUUGCUCCUGGUGCAAGUCUCCUUUGCGUUGUGCAUGAUUGUCAUCUCCCUGUCCCUCCAGGCUCUGCUGCUUUUCCACUUGUGCUCUGGCAUUUGCUGUGUCUUCCAGCAUCUGAAGUCCCUGGAAGGUUUGUGUGUGACAGACCUGCCACCUUGCAGCCCCUCUUGCUUUUGAGCUGCUCUGAGGUGGGUGAAGCAGAAGCAAGAGUUAGGCCAUGUCAUCAAGAGAGAGCAGCCAGGGCGUUUAACUGAUCCCCCUCUCUUUGGGCAUACACAAAAGCCAUAAGCAACACUGCGUGUGACUCAGCUUUCCAAGUCUGCAAAUUUCAAAGCUGCUGAUUUCAUUGCCAUAACUGAACUGGGGGUUGCUUUUUCCUUUUCUGAUUUUUUAAUUUAGGACAUGUUUACAUGGGAAAAUUGGGAAAAUUAAUCUGGACUAACUAAAGGCUUGUGUUUAAAGUGGAUUCAUUCAACUGUAUUCAACUUCUAUGCGGACAGCAUUUCGGAGACCUUAAUUUGGUUUGUUGCAAUUUGCCUCCAAAAUGCAUUAAGAUAAACCAAAUUAAGGCCAUCUUUGUUCCAAAGAAAUAUUUUAUGUAUACUCAUUAAUUCUAAAAGUUCUUAGAUUAAUAUUCGAGAAAAUGUCCCUGUGUAGACACAUCAACAUUACUAAUAAUAUUUGGCUGAAGUGCAAGAUAAUGGCAAAGUCCAGGCUCAAAUAAAAGAGAUGAAUCAUCUCUAAAUCAUAUGUUACAAUAUAACAGGAUAAAGGACAAUUGUUUUGCUGGAGAGAUGCUUUCAUGCACAGAACAGCUGUAAGUCCAUUUUGGCCUCAUAGACAACAGCAGGGUGAGUUUGAACAUUGUCCCAUGUGCGUCCAAGGAGGGUAAAAUAGCCUGAUUUUGAAGGCACGUGUCAGCCAAAACAAGUGCAACAGCGGCAAUAUUUGAUUUGCCAGGCUUUGUCUCCAGUGACACCAAAAUUGAACAUAGGAUGGGUAAUUGAAUAAAUUAAUUCAUGGAGAGCCUCAAGUGGUCACAGUUGAAUCAGACCUGAUCCAGAGACCUCUGAGGGUGAAGACACCCUGUCCCCUAUUGAACUGUAAGGUACCCAGGUGCCACUGCCACGCUGCUGUCUGCAUCCCGCAUCCCUUAGGACGCUGUAAGAGGCAAGGGGUCCCAAGCUCUCCCGAGCCCACUGCUUGAAAGCUGCGGGCACUCUUUGGAAGCCAAAAAGUUGCUUCAGACUUGCAUCAGCAUAUCCCAGGAUAAGGUGAAUUUUGUAAUGGAGGUGACUCCUUCUGCCAGUAAAAAUGUAAAACAAAGAGCUUAACACCUAUCCAUUACUUAAGCACACAUGGACCCAUUUUCAUAGCCUUCCUCUCCAGUGCCUCCUGGAAAAACAGUUCCUUGGAAAUUACCAGUAAUUGUUUUAUUCUCUUUGAUCUCCACUAAUAAAGCUAUGGACUAUCACUCAGCAGGAGCUGUUCCUCUUAGUUAGGAUCUUUCCAACAGUAGUUACAUUAGAAAGGCUCUGGGGAAAUUUCGGUAAAUGCACUUGAAAAGAGCUCUGCAAAACUGCUUAGACUUUCUAUAAAAAUAUUUCCCCUACGUUUGUUCUUUGACUGCUCAGCACACUUCUCAGCUUGUUUGUUUUUCCCUUUAUUGAAGCUGUUGUUGGACUGAGGUGAAAGCUAGAGAAGACAGUUGUGACUUCCUUGUCAAGAGAUCUUACAGCAGCUGGAGAACAGAGCUAAAGAUUUCUGAAUCCCAGACAAGCUGCUAUAGAAAUUGAGCUUGAGAAUAACAGUGCCUUGCCAGCUCAUGAUGUACUUUCUAACCAUAGUAAGGAAGAUGGCGGAGUGAUGAAUAUCCAUUGGUCUUCCAGCAGGGAUCCCUUCACGUCUGAUGUGAUAUAAGAGCCUCCAGCAUCCCUGCUUAUAUCCCAGAAUAGAAAAUGUCAUUUAAUUUCCCAAAAGAGCAGCAUUGACCAGACUUAAAAAUAGCUGAGUACUGCAUUCUCAUGGAAAUCAGUGUAAAUUGGGCCUGCUGCAUUAAAAAAUCCCAUUCCCCAGUAGGAAUGGUUGCACUCUGGUACUGGUAGCCAAGUCGUUGUCAGAUAUUGGGAGAUCUGGCGGUUCAAUCAGUUCUCAGCUGGUGGCUCUGGACACACAGUAGCAUCUCGGUUCUGCAGUCCACUUGGAUAGCAAGUGGUCUGUUUAGGAAACAGGGAAAUUGAUAUAUCUAGAAUUUUCAGUCCCCAGGCUUUAAGUAGUGCAGAAUUAAAAAUGCUGCAUUCAGACAGAACUGAGCAUCAACUUGGCAGGUUGGGUGAGCAAGCUGAGCACACGCCCACCUCCGGUGCAUGCAUGAAAUACAGCCCUGAGUGAGUGCACGGCCGCGUUCGGCAUGGGCUUGUUCUCACGAGCAGCUCUCUGCGAGGCAAAGGCUCUGUGGUCACCUUAUGUAGAGCUGACAAAAGUAUGGACGAGUGUGAGAAGAUGCAAAGAGGAAGGCAAAUGUCAGAGCCCCUGGGUGCUGAUGGAAGAACCCUUUAAAAGCUAUUUCACCUUCCAAAUGAAGUGAACAAUGAGCUACCCAAGCUGUGACCUCUUUUGGCUGCUGCUUACCGUUGUGCCUUCUCUGAAGUUGGCAAUGGUCUUCAAACCAAAGGGUGGGUGAAGGCCUUUGAAUGGAAGGGUCUGAAGUGUAUCCAUGUACCUGCCUCUUGCAUAACUGGCAAUUGGAAGCAAGAGUAAUUGCACCAGCUGGUAUCUUUUUUUCUUUUUUCUCUCCAGCUAGAAACUUAAAAAGCUUAAAGAACCAACUGCACAGCCUUAAAGUCGUAUUUACUGUGUUUGGCAUCUUGCCACAAGCAUUUGGAGUAUGGCUACUGUAGAUGUUGAUAGCUGAUUGCUGCUUUAUACUUAAUGAUCUCAUGGAUGUGCGAAGUAAAGAAGUAUAAUCCCCAGUGAAGACAGGGGCAGGGUUGGUGAGGAAUAAAAGAUCUCUUCCUCUACACUGGUUUUGAUCUUUCUAUAGGCUGGAAAUGAAGAACAGUAAUUAAAGCUUAACUGGAAGAGAUCAGAAAGCUUUUAAAAUUAAUAAAACUUGUAACAGGCAUCAAACAUGAUCAUAUUUAAAGGAUAUGCAGGCUGCAGUUUUAGUCUGUGCUCAGAUUGAAUUUAUGUUCUUUCUGUAUAGGGGUGCUGGCCCCAAAAGUGCUAGUGUGUGCUACAGGAGCGGGGACUGUGCUCCAGCCAGUCUGCUGGUGGCACUUUCCUAAUCUCAUGUUGGAUUUUCCCUGCUGUAAAUCCACAGACCAAACUGGAGGUAUCCCAGAUGUACACUGGUGUGUCAGGCCUUACCCACAGGGAUGCUAGCAACUAGUGCACGGGAGUCUCAUUCCCAGCUCAGUCACUCACCUGGAGCUGGUGUUUUUCUUUGAACUUUUAGAAGGUCAUAGUUGUUCAGCCGUUUUUAAGGAUGGGACCGUCACCCCAAGACAUGCCUCCAGGAGCUGAUGCUUUAUGUAAAGAAUCUCAAACUGCCUGAAUUGACAGCAUUGAAAAAAUGAAACAAGACACUCCAUUCUCUCCUGAUCCUUUAAAGACAAAGACAUCCUGAGUACUAUUUGGGAAGAUAACAACUUAAUUGUUCAACCAAAAGCCCGCAUUUUAAUUUACCCAUUAUCCUUUCAAAUAGAAAUAUGCUUUAAAUCAAGGAAGAGACAGACAGACUGACCACUGCCUUAGAGACUUUGAAAGGCGUCAGCUUACAGCAGUUUUGGUCUAUACUGGUAAUAUUUUCCUGCAGGAGAUAGAUUUUCUCUAUUUGAUCCUGGGGGGAACAUGAUGCUUACACCAGAAUAGCCUUGCGCAUCUACCACAACAACUGUUUAGAGCAGGGAACAGAGACAGUGAUGACUACAGGAGACUCAAAGGCCUACGCUGAAGAGCUGUGCUUUAGAUAUUGUCGGUUCACUAGCCUGAAGGGGCUGGUGAGUGCAAAAGGUUCAGCAUGGACAUCGGAGACCUCGCCAAGAAUGAAAACCUCUUUCUGCAGUGCUGUGGCAUCCCGUUGUCUCAGGGCUCUGGCCACGAUAUGGGUAGCAAAGCUCUAAGCUGGGGGCACUCCAGCAAAGGCAGGUUGCAUUUUUUUCCAGCCUAAAUAAGUCCUGUAUGGAAUUAACACACUUUUCUCAUCUCCAAAGCUGACCUUUGGGAGGAUGAAAGGAGGCAAAUGGUCCACCUCUUUCCUUUUACUACCUGGAAACCAAUGAGAGGUUAAACUUCAUCUGCACUAAAGUGAUGUGCAAGGAAAGGACAAAAAGCAGCCAGUACCUCCUGCCAGCCUCGAUCGAGAGGGGACGAUGAGAAGGGAGAGGAUGUUUCAGCCCUUCACUGCCAUUUAUUCCAGCACUAAAAAAAAAAGAUUUUUUUAAAUCCUAAUGCUGAAACACCUACUAAAAAGAGUACUAAACUACGCCAGAAGAACAUCUGGGAGAUAGGACUUUUUGCAUUAACCCAGAUGAUUUUUUUAUUUAUUUUUACUGCAAAUGAACUCUCAAUGGCUUUCUUUAAAGGUCACCUUUUUUUUUUUUAAACUACUGUGCUAGGAAAAUGCUUUUAAGUUUCAUCUGCUUUGUGUGUGUGCAUUUUCUAAGCCCUGGGUUUAUUUCUUAUUGGAAAAAUGGUCUUGGAUCAUGUCUGAGUUGGAAAUUUUAUUUUAUGUAUCAGAUGCAUAGGAGACAGGUUUUUUAACUCUUUGAAAACUUGAUUUCUCUUUUUUUGGUGGGUGCUCGGCACUAAGCCUUUACACCUCAAACAAAUCCUGCCUUCUGCACCUCUUCCUCCUGCCACCUGCUCUCUGCCAGCAUCUUUUCUGGGGCCCUAAAUUUCCCUGUUUUAGCUGCUUCUAUCUCUGCCUCGCCGUUGGCACAUGGAAGGGGUUAAAUGGAUUUUUUCAAUUCUGCUUGAUUACUAAUGAGCUAUUAUUUCCUCUUCCUGGCACUAUCACUGCUAACAGCUCCAGAAGGAGAGGCUGUUUUUCCUGCAGUGACCUCCGUGGUACGUGGAGAGGUCUGAGGUCUGAAGGAGAGAUGCAGACAUUUUCACAUGUUGUGCGCCUCCAGAUGUUCACGGGCAAAGUAAAGCUUUCCAAAAUUUGAUAGCAAAUCCAAAAUGUUAUUACAUCCUUCUACACUUCAGUAUCCUCUCCAGAAAAAGAGCUCUGUGCUGACAAAUAACACCAGGAGGGCAACAGUCAUGUAGGAAGGCACCAGCUAGGUUUGUAACCAUAAAUCGUUAUUGGGGAUUAACUCUCUGGUCAAAACUGGUUGCCUGAGGAUUACUCAUAGACAAAUAGAUUUUCAAAGGUGCCCAAGUCAACUCAGAUUAUCCAGACUUUGUCCAAACUCAGCCAAACCUUAAAGCACUCUAAUUCUCAUGAGAAGUCUUGCUUUUAGGUAGAUUAGGAAGAAACCAGAAAGAAACACAGAAGGACAAAUGCCCACAUGAAAAGCAUCCAGUUUUCUUUUCCCUAGGGGCUCAUCAUUUGCCCCAAACCCAUUUGCUUGAUGCAGGCACAGAAGCUGCUGGAGGUGUUGUGCCAUUGCGCAGGGCUUGCUGAGACAGGAUCAGAGAAGGCUACAAUCCCUCUCGAAAUCUGCAAUGGUUGUAGAACCAGGGCUACUUCUGCAUAAAACUAGCAACCUGCAUUGCUGUCCUUGAAAGCUGGAGUCAAACACUUUAACCUAGGCUAGCCCUAGGCUACACCAACUGUUGCUCACACUCUGCAGGACAUUUCUUAUGCUCUUGUGCAGAAUUACCUUAAACAAAGCCAUAACGAGUUGCUUCCUUGGACAUAGUACAUGAAUUCUAUAUUUAUUGAUUACAAAGCAGCACUGGCUUGAAAGGAAUCUCCCAGGCUGCUCACUGUGCAAGUAUGUCACAUAACUCUUCUAUAUUUAUCAACCUUCAUCUUCAAACUAGUUAGAUUUUUGCUUUUCUAAUCACAUUAGAAGGCUGUUCCUGAGCCUCACUCCUCUGAUGGUUAGAAUUACGCCUCCAAUUUCCAUCUUAAUUUAUUUAUAGCCAGUUGAUUCAUGGUGCCAAAUAAGUAAUACUAGAAAUAUAAAAAUAAAAAAAACAUUUAACAAUCUGUCCAGACUGAGAACAGAGAAUGGAUUAAAGAUCUGUAUUUUCAUUAUUAACUAAGCAUAUGAUGGUACAUUUUCUUAACAGAAAUUUGCAUUUCAGGAACAGAUAAAUAGCCUACAUAGAUGUUACUUUAGUGAAACCAAAACAGUUCUAAUCAAUACGGUCAUAUACAAUUUCUAGCCCAACAGAUUUCCACCAUAUCACCCUUCUUCAUAGAAUGAUUAAAAACCAGAAAGCCAGUGAUUUGGUCUGAAGCUUUCUGGACCUUUAUCUGCUGAAUAGUUUGCCUUCAAGAGGCCAGAAGUUACCGUAGGUGCAGCCUUCUUUCUUCAUAUGCUUAUGAGAAUGGAUCAGCUCUUAUGGUCUACGUUGCAUUGCAGCAAACUCCACCUUCUUUGCAGUCCAUGUAAAGCCAAAUUCCAGGGGCAUGGAAACUCCUUCCCUCUUCUCCAGGGCUUAUUGCCUAUCCCAUCAACUUGAAAGCCAAAAGGCUACAUCUAAAAUGAUUUCAUCUUCCAAAAAUUCUGACUUCCACAAGAACAUUGCUAUCUGUAGUUACGACAAGAUGGCUGUUUGUUAGUGUCUAUUAGCAAUAGCGUGAAUAUUAGUUAGAAAUGCUGAAGAAUUUUAUUCCACAAAGACACAUUUGGGAGAGUAUCUUAUUCCUCUGCUCUGGAGGAGGAAUUGCAGUGUGAAAUUUCAUAGCUUUCCUGCUUCACUGGCACUAAUAACUUGUAAUCAAGCUAUCAUCAGCUGUAUGAUUCAAAGGGUUUCUUGUUAUUUUAACUUCCCCGGGGAAAGGUUUACUCCUCAUGGUGUUCUGUCACGUCGUGCUUUCACCUGCAGUGAGAGGGGAGGGCUUUGCUUCAUCCCGCUUUGCUUUCAUGCUUCCUCCAUGGACCUGGUCAUACCUGUCACCUUGUCACCUGUCAGGUUUGCCCUGCGUGGCUUAGGUGGUCGGGUGGACCGAGUGCGGCUCAUUUUGCCUGGUGCAGGUUUGAAGCUGUUCUUCCUACAAGGGCAUGACAUGGAUGACGUCCAGCAAGGGCUGGUGAUGGCCAGGCACCAGCUCAUUUGGAUGUGGUAGAAAAUAUCACCGAUCUCCUGUGCCCUUUGUUUAGACAACGUACCUGCAAACAAUUGUUCUGCGGGCGGCUUCCGAAGUGUGUGAUCUUCGUGGGGAAACCCUUGCCCUUUGCUCUGCUGGGAGUCACGGGCUUUGCCAUUUGCCCGUGUCUCUUGGCAGAGCUCAGCCGGGUGGUUUGGACGCAGGUUGUGACAUACGGGUGCUUGCGGGCUGCUUUGGAGACCUCACCACACCUGAUGGCCGCGGGUGGCUGCUGUGCUGCGCUGCAGCUCACAAGGGCCUAGGAAACCCAGGUUCUCCAAGCCAGCACGGUCCGGCUUGUCCUUCCGCUCCCGUUGCAUUAGCACAGUCCUUGUCACUUUAAACCCUCAGUGCUUUGCUCUCCCUUCCUAGCCAGCUAGCUUCCCAUCCACCAAACAUGUAGUUGUCAUGUUUUCUCCCUUUAGCACGGACACUGGGUGGCAUCUCCUGUUCGGCUUCCCACCAUGGCCCGGGAGGAGGCCGGGAACAGCAUCCAGGGCAGGGCGCGGAGCCCAGCAGACGAGCACAGCCAUCCGUGCCUGCACCCAGGCGAGCGUCAGGCCUCCCAGUCACCGUCCCAGUCUCCGUGCAGGCUGGCUGGGUGGGAGCGGGGCUGGGGGCUCGCCGCAGUCGCUGGCAAUGUCAUGCUCACCUGGCCCGCGGGGCCUGGCUUGAGUCUUGGCGCUGACACCCUGCUGCGGGAUAGGCUGGAGCCUCUCACCCACGCUGAAUUGUUUCCUUGGCCUGUGCAUGUCUGUAGUAUGGCAUAUGCUUCUUUUCCAUUUGAUAACAAAAGACAUGAAAAGAUGCAUAGUGAUUUACUGCCUGCAGAAAUGCACACUGUAAUGCGGCUGCAAGAUCCCUCUGAAUCUGCUAAGGCGAUGGCUCCCGCCCCUUCGCAGCGAGCACAUGGAGAAGUCUGGGAAUUAAGAAGUUCCCUGACCGCCACCUCUGCAUGUCCGGACAGCCAGUGCAGGAGUUAAUGCAAUACUGCAUUGCAGCAGCACGCUCUGCACCCCAGCCUGGACCUGUGAGAAAAGGGAGGAGAAGGAAAAGCAAACAAAUCUUAGGGCUGGAGAGGGGACGACUGAAACAGAAACAGAAAAGGAGGAGAGGGAAGGACUGUGACCUGACAAAGAAACCAGCAGGCUCAUUCGCAGACCUUGGCUGCCAGAUGGCCUUGUCCUGCAAAAGGGGUUUGGGGCCUUAUUUGUCCCACCAGGAUCAGCUGGGCUUUGUGGGGACCUCACUGCUGGCUCUCUGCGUUGCUCAGUUCACAGGGGAUGUUAAUGCCUCUUGCAGUGGCCUCAGCCUGAAUUGCAUCUCGCCUCUGCAGCGAAGUCCCCGACCGUCCUGGGCAGCUCAGCCCCAGCGUGACGACGCUCCCGCCUGUCCUGUGCCCUUUUCAGCCCAGCUCACUUCAGCAGCCGCACAACUGCGGCUGAUUUGGGAAUUCUGCUUUCAUACGCUGUUCUCAGUCACUUUAUUACUUUGCCAGACUCUAACUAAUCAGCUUGAAAUUUCCUCCAUAACAUUUAAAUUACAAAAAAAAAAAAAAAAAAAAAAAAAAAAAAAAAAAGGCUAAAAUAUUCCAGCUGCUCAAGAAAGGGAAGAGAAGGUAAAAAAAUGCAUUGUGUCCUCAUUUUAGAAACAAGGCAAUGUUUUGCUUUGCUGUGAACACCCACCGUCCAGGAGUCUAAUCCCCAUGUGAGCCUCGGAGGGUGCUCUGGGGUCAAGGAUUUGCCGUUCUCCCCCUGUGAAAUUUGCCUGUGCUGGGACAAAGCUGCUGAAAGGCAGCUCUGUGCAGUGCUGGGGAGCAGUCCUGAUAUGCAAAGGUUGAUUUUGCUCUUUUAAGGCGAGCACUUCAGACAAGCCCUUGCUGAGACAUGAGUAGACCCAGCUCUCACUGCACUGCACAUUAAAGUACCUGGGCUGGGGUGGGGGAAAUCCAUGUUUUGGGGGUGACUUCCAGCUGGAUGUUUGUAACUUGUGGAAUAGCUGCUAUCACCGCUUCACAGAGCCAUCUGCUGAACAUAGACCAAUUGGAGCUGGUGAAUUCAGUAUCCUAGAUUUUAUUAAAAAUCCUGUCUAUAUGUGGAGUUGGACACUAACUGUUGACAAUGUGAGUGGACUUUAGGUACCAGACAUAGCCCAGUGGCUUUAAAGAAGACCCAGUCCAUGUGCUGGGCAGUAACUUGUAUUAUUUUGAUUUUGGAUUUUGGUACUCUUUAAUUAAAGGUCCUGACUUUAUAAUCCAAUCAAUCUAGAUAAAUAACAACUGUCUUUUGCAGAUAAAGUUGUAGGCUUAUCACUGCCCAACAGCCAUAUUUCAAAGACGAUCCAUAAAAUUACCUACCAAAUCAGCGUACAUAGCAUCUGGCCGCUCCAGCUGUGUGCAGGCAGAGCUCUGCACUUGUGCUGACAGCCGCAUUCCCUCGACACGAUGCCAUCCUGGACACACGUCCCCGCCAGCCCUUCUCCUCUUACCACCAUCACAAAGAUGCUUCUUCCUUAGAAGUCUUAUCCCCUCUACUACUCAUCCCAUUCAUCCCACAAAACCUCUAGCUCGAAGUUAUGGUAAUUACAAGGGGGAUGUGACAAAGCUGGAGGAUGAGACGUAAUGCAAUUAGUAGACUAUUUUACCUUCUUCACCUUUUCCUGUGGAAGAGCGUUGUUCUAAUGAAUAGUAUCAAACAACCAUUUCAUUGUGACCUAAUUGAGCAGUUACUUGUGCCGCAGAGGCGUCAGUGAACCCAUACGGGAAUGCUUUUCAGGGCUCGGUGGGAAAGGCAACAUCUUGGAUUAGCACGUAUAUGCAUAGGGGGUGAACGGGCCAGUCCUACCUUUAAUGCCUGCUUGUUUGCAUGAGCCUUGCUAGACUUCGCCUUCCUCUGAAGCAAUGUGCCCAACACAACACCAAGAGCUUGGGGCAGACCCCAGGCCUCAUCUCCACUCCUGCGUGUGAGCAGCUCUUUUCCCGUGCCCUGAGAAGCUGCAUUUUCUCAGUGCUGCUUCACUGGGAAGUUGCACUGGCAGAGGUGAAAGUAAGAACAAGUGAGGCAGUAGCAGCAGGGCUGAGUGUGCAGAGGGUAUUUGCAGAGCCAAAAAGCCUUUACAGACCUGCCUAAGCUAAACUUGCCCCCAGAUAGCACUGCUGUCUCGUUUCCUGGAAUAUAUUACCUACACCUAGCUGACAAAAAAAAACAGAGGAAAAAAGGCCAUUUUGUAAUGCAAUCAAACCUCAAUUGCCCAUUUGUUUUUGUCCUUUAAAAGAGCUAAUAACUUGGUAAUUGGUGGAGAUGUCUCCUGGGCUCCAUCAGAGAAAGAGAGAUUUUCCCACCAUGAAACAGAGAGGGAUAAUCUUCUAAUGAAGAUAGGGAGGUAUUACCCAAAUUAAAGGAAUCCAUGUGGAUUUCUACCUGAUGUCCAAGCCAGAGAAACCUUGUUUCUUUGAGUGUUUCCUUUUAACAGAGUGGAGAUUUUUGGUGAUAUUACUGUAGUAAAGCCUAGCUGGAGUUCUCCUCUUGGCAAGGAGGGAUCCCAGCCCACUGAAAGGUAGCAGGGGUUAAAGAUACAUGGAAGCAUUUUCACUGCCAUAUCUAUUAAGGAGCUAUGUGUCUAGCUUUAUGUGUCUAGCUCGGGUCCAAAAAAUAUGCAAAUAACCUGAAAAUGGGCCCUAAAGUUCAGCUCUGGCACUAUUUGGAGUCUUUCUCGGAGCUUCAUCUUGUGACUGUCCCAGAUGGGUGAUUCCCAGUGGAGAUGGCACUCGGGGCUGUAUGGGGCCCGGGUGCCAUGGCCCGAAGCCACCCAGACGAAUGCCACCUCCAGAGCACUCACGUCCACCCAGCAGAGUUCAAGCGCUCUUUGCUGGCCUGAGCUUUUCAAAAAAACAUACUUUAGUGAUGCAUCCUUGGGAAUGGAGGGGUUUUAUUGCCCAUCCUGAGAGACUGGUCUAAUUUUUCAAAGAGAAAAGCUGGAGUGCAGAAAAAGCUUGAGGCUCCACCUGAGCCAGCCUCCAAUUUAUUGUCUUUCAGUCCCAGUGCCAGGAAGGCCCCAAGGUAUAUGGGAAGCAUAAACUUUUAGCCCUUCAUUAUAUCGCACAUUAAUUAAUAUUAAGAUGCUGCUCUAUGCUGCUUUUAUCCUUUGCAAAGUACUUGUGGUUUCUUCAGGAUCCAGGAGCUAUAUAACAGUAAAUUAUCAUUUUAUUGAAGUGAUUGGCUUUAUCCUAAAACAGGUUCUUAAAGAACAGGCUUUAAAGGUUAAACUCUGUGCCAGGGUAAUAUGUAUAUCACAGUCCCGGGUGCCUUUUGUGUUUAAAAACUGAAGGUUUCCAUCUGUAAAAAGAGGAAUUUAGACAUGCUGAUAGUCUGACAUUUAAAUGUGAGCAGCGGAAGAUAAACACAGUCUGACAUAAAGUAAAUGGGGUGAUAUUAGGGAAAGUUAAAUUUCACAUAUUCCUGCUGCUGCUUCUGCCUGCUGGGCUGGCGGUACCCGACGGCGAGCGUUCCCGGGCAUUAACUCCGCCGUGUCCCGCGGCUUGUCCGGCCGGUCAGCACAACGCGCAUGGGAAGCAUCGCGCUGGCCUGGCAGCCUGUUCAAAACCUUUUCUGGUCAGCAAAUGAGCCUUAUGUACCUACUUGCAGCUAGAAAAACUAGCUCAGAAGGGAUUAAGGGCUCAGGUCUUGGCUGCAAUCUCAGCAAGCAAGGCGUUGUAUGGCAGUUCUGGUCGGAUGUUUUGGUGCUGGCACUUUAUGCCCAUCCCUUACGCAGGCAACCUUGAACUGAACCAGCAAAACUUGCAUUCGUGAAUAUUUUCAAAAUCUCUCGCCUCUUCGGUAAACUAAUCCCACACACAACUGUAUGUGACAAAACAGCUUUCCGGGAUCUUGUCUGGCUUUCCCUCUUUAAAGUCCCGAGGGUGUGUAGGCAGGUUAAAUAAUGCAAAAGCAGCUGUAAUUAUCCUGUGCAGUUUCUCUGGAAACAUUUGAAAAAUAUUAGGGAAUUGGGCUUUUUCUUUUCCUGGCCUCCUUUUCCAGGGGUCUAGAACAAAUCUAAUGGUUUAAUGAGAUAUAUGACAACAUAUGACAUGAAGGAGAUUUUUAGUGACUUUCAUUACCCAAACUCAAUUAGAGGGGAGUAAUCAGCGAGUCCCCUGCCGUGACAAGUGUGAAAUGAAAUGCUGGCAAGAUGGGACAGACAGGAGAAGCGAGACUCGCUGCGAGAAGGCACAGAGAUACUCCCGGCAUCCCCCACCGAAGCCCUCCCUGAAUAAUGCAGCAUGCAGAUUGCGGAUUAACAACUCCUCUGCUGUUUUCUUUCCUCCAAACUGAGUAAUUAAACAUAAAUAGCCCCACACGCUAUUGUUUUAGAAACCAUGGAUUUGAUGUCAGAUAAAGUCCUUUGUUUGCUUGUUUCUUGGGAGGGGGAGGAAGGGAAACACAGGGUGGUUUGGUUUUUGCUUUCUUCCUUUCGGUCCCACAGUAAGAUUUUUGAUUUCGGUGUGCGUUAUUAUACCCGUGGCUGGGCCUAGCUUAGUGCUGUUUGGUGCUGGGCACGGGAAUGUCACGAAAGCUGUGCAACCUCCUUGCUCUGGGGCUGGUUCCCGCAAGAGGUGCUGGUGCCAGGUUCAGCGCCGGGAGGAGCGGCAGCCCGUCGGGGCUGUGCACGCGCCUCCGUUUCUGAGCUUGCCGGGAUUAUCCACAGCAAGCUGCUCCCACUGAGACACACGUUCAUUCGUCCGACUGAGACCCGGAGCCUGCGUGCUCUGGGAACCGGUGACAUGGAAAAAACCACGGAUUUGCAGAAUGCCUGGCCAGACAGCACGGUCUGCGAUUUGCCUCGGGCGCCUCUCUCAAAACCCUGGUUCCCUUUGCGAGCGAAGAGCGGUGCAUCCACCGCUGCCAGAGGUAACCAGGUAAAGUGCUUUGAAGAGGCGGACGAUGAGUGAACCCCCCCGAACAGCUCGGUGAGGAUUAUACGUGCCGGCCCACACUCGGAUAUGCUGCAAUUUUACUCGUGUUCAAGGAGAAUCUCAAUUAGCAAAAUGCAUUCGUGUCCGCAGCAUAAAUUCUUUUCCUGGGAACAUGUCAUUCCCCAGGCAGGCGGCUUUGCCGGCUUUUGCAGGAUUAGCUCCAGCACUUUCCCAAAUGGGAGUGAGCAGAGAUCAGUUUAGACAUGUCCUUGCAUUAUUGCAGGAGGGCAAUAAUACAACAUCAUGUUGUUCACAGAGCAGAUGAAAAGACACCACUUUCAGGGAGCAGUGUGAUUCCUACUACAAAUCACCUCCUGUCACUGAAAAAAAGAAAAAGAAAGAAAGACUCAUCAGCUCCUGGGAAAUGGCUAUUACUUUCUGAUCCAUUUACAUUUGGAGAUUCCUUAAGCAGUGUAGAUUCAACGCUGCCCAAGUGAGGAAAGCAAAUGUGGGUUGCAGGAGACACGCUUAACUAGUCACUUACAAUUCCAGGCAAGGCUUUUGCUGUCAUUACCUUCAUGAUUUUUUAAAGACGCAACCAACAGCAUAUGCAAAUUAGCACCUGAGCUUAUUAGGGGGGAAACCUACUGCAUACGUAAGUGCACAAAUGUGACUGAGCUGCAGGCACACUAGGGAUAUUUUACACGGUCACUCACACCCAUCAUGAGGCCUUUAGAUUGCUGGACUGGUUUCAUAGGGGCAGGUGUAACUGGGAUUUGGCUGCACUGGGCUGGCAAAGGGAGCUAAGGGCUCACAUCUGGUGGCGGGGGCAGCCCUGCUGCCCCUCCGUCCCGUGCCCUGACCCUGCCCUGAAAAAGCCAGUGGAGUCUGGCCAGGUUCGUGAGCUGAACCAGCUCUGAGAAAGGUCUCCUGAGUGCCAGGGUGGGCACAGGGGACGAUGCCCGAGCUUCCAGUGGCAGCAAUGAGAUAUUAAAUUGGCUUGAUCAUAUCAAGCUCUGUCUGCAGCAUUGCUCUUUCUGUCUUCUUUUUGGGGAUUAAUUGCCCGUGCAAACGCACAGCCCUUCUGCCUCUCCACCCUUCCCCUGGCUCACGGUCACCUUGCACCCCUUCCCGGUGGCAUAGGGGGCCGUAGGAAAGUGCCCAGACGUGCACACGAGGAGUUGCAGCCCUGCGGGAGUGCACUACAAAGCAUCCUGCAGUCCCCAAGAAGUGACUUCAACUUUAAUGCUCCCCGACAAGAUAAUUUAGUCAUCUUAGCAAGUGCGACAUCCAUCCCAGCACUCACCAAGCAUCCUGGGUUCAUCUGACACAGCCAUCUUCCUUCAGGGUGUCUAAUUCAAUAAGUAACAACACGGCAGAGUGGAUGCUGCAGAAGAAGGUGGUUGCCAGAUACUCGGUAAUGCGGACAGACACAGCAAGACGAAGAGGAGCCUUUGGUGGAACAGCUGACCAUCACAUGGGUUAUGCAGGUUUUUUAGUAAAUAACAAUUAUUAUACAAAAUUUUCAUUAUAGGACAAAUACUCACAAUAACAAUAUAUUUAAACUCAAAACUAUCUUCACCAGCUUUUGGACAUUUGAAAUCUGUCCUAGUGGAAUUACACUAAUGAAUGCACAGACAAUAACAAUGUAUGGAAAUAAUGGAAAGGCAAGAUAUUCCUCAAUAAGGAUCACAUUUUUAAAGCAUUGUGAUAGAAACAGAAAAAAAUCAUGAUAGACAGUAUCUGCACAAGAUUGUGGCUGAAGAGCCAAAGGUUACAAGCUGCAAAAGCUGGGCCCAUCUGGGGAAUGCUGGAUACACUAUUUUGGGACAGGAAGGAGACAGACUGGGUACUCAGAUCUUUUCUAUUGCUAGCAAGUGAGGUUUUUUCUUAGGAUAAAUAUUAGCUGGAAAGGACUGAAUAUUAGAAUGUAUUCCUAUGACAUCUAGCAUUUAUCUGUCUACAGGAAAUACUAGGAUAAAACUGAUGAAAUGAAAAGCUCUCUGCAAGAUAUCAUUCCAGCCCAGUGAAUUCCAUUAGUUUUCCUGGGACUAGGCAGAGAGCAGGUCCCCAAAGCCUGUCCCUGCAGACCGAGCUUUGGCCACGCAGGUUGACUACAAGGCAGGCUGCUCCCGCAGAGAGCCUAAGCCAAGGAUAGCCCAGGCACAGCCGAAUAUUCCCCCACAAAAUACCUAGCGGAUGCCCUUGGACUCGGCACGGAGCAGCUUCUGCUCGUGCAGGCACUGCUUUCGAAGUUGGUGCUUUGGUGGCAUACCCAGCAGCUGGUCACUGGCACUGAUUGCUGCACAGCGACGUCUAUCUCGAGAGGCGACAGGAAAUUUAUCUCCCAGCACCUCAUCAAAUCAAGUGCAAUUCCUGACCGUUUGCCAAAUGGGAGCGAUAACCGCGCUAAGUGCCUUGCAGGAGAGUCCUCUCCAAAUCACGUGUGUGGAUUGUGAGCUCCCGUCGGCUGCAGUGGUAUAUGACUUGAUUAAGCCCUUGCAUAGGAGAGCUCUGCUGACCUGCCAGGAAAGGUCAGAGCUGCCUCUCUUACACUAUGGACAUUUUCUGCACAUGGCACAUUAACUUCCUGGAUACUAAAAAUCUGUAUCAUGCCUUCAGGUUGCCAAACACAGUCCAAUUUGUUCAUGUUAGCUAAUUUCCCCUGAGCUUCAUGAUCUAAAAGAAAUUGGUACUUUUCCUUUCUCAGCCACUCGAAAACAUUUCUCUUCUAUUCUGCAGGGCCUUUCCCAGAAGUAUGAAGGUGGGGGAAGCUGAAUAAUAAAUAACCUGUAAGUCUACAAGUUCUCUGCUCCUCAUCCUUUACCCCCUGGAAGGGCCCAAACGCAGUCGGUCCAUCCCAGUCUUUGCAUUCGGGGCCUGCGAAGGACUAUGCAAAGCCACUCUGUGAAAUGAGCGGGGAAAUACUUCACUCACCAAGACGGCUGUGCUUUAACUGCAAUGAAACACCUACUUAAAGAGAAAUGGCUCGCCUGGUCAUGCAGUCUGCCCACUGCUUUGAGGUUCAUCACAGGACUUCAAGCAAAAACAAUUACUUACAAUACAGUUAUAUGUCUGACUCCUUGCAAAGUCACCAUGCAAUGUUUGGAAAAUUUCCAGAAAAUGUGAAUCCUUUUAAAAUGAAUGCUGGGAGUAUCUAUAGGGGGUCAUGUAGAAUAUUCAUAAAUAUAUACAUACUAGUUAGUGCAUUGCCCUGAGCUCAGCUUUCCAUCGGUGCCUUAAAGCAGUGACUAUUGCUAAACAGCACUGAACUCAUAUUUGACAUUCUCUAGCCAUCCCCUCUAGCAACUAAAGGGAUGUAAAGACAAUAUUGCAAAGUAAUCUGAACUAGUUGUCUAAUGCAAAGCUGGCAGGCUCUCAAAGCUAGUCAAGAUAUAAUGAACAGGUGGAAAACAUUGGCGAACUAUUGUAUAUUUUCUGCUUCUGCAGGAAUACAAUGGCAGCAUUAUUCAUCCAGGGCAUGGUACAAUUUCCUUCGGCAUGCCUAGGAGUCCUCCCAGUGAUUUCAAUAGGAGCUGAAUUGGAGCCUUUGUGGCAAACACCCAGGGAAUAACUGUGAGCCCUCGACUUGGCCUUAGCGGGAUGGUGGAGCAUAUGGGGUCCUAUUAAGAAUGUCAUAUUCUACCUUCAGUGUUGCCAAGAAAUCCAGGUGAUAUUCGCUUGCACCUUGGCUUUUGGCUUUUGGACAGGAAGAGCAAAUCCAGUCGUUUGAAAACAGUUGGCAUCUUUUUCUGUCACCUCUGCGAAUAGAUCUACUAUUUGGCAAAAAUAUGUAACAAAAUGCCAAUUACAAAUGUCAGGUAAAGCCUGUCAAUGUGAAUGCAGAUUACAUAUGUGAGGGAAUGGAAGAAUUGUGUUUUCAAGGGGCAGGAGUCCCUUGAAUGUGGUUUUGUUCCUGAUUCUGCUAAUUCACAGUCCCUUUGGGACAUGUUUUCUCUGUUUCCUUCUUCAUCUUCUCUAUUUACACUAUAAAGUCUUUAGGGCAACUAUUGCUUUGCCAUGUUUUUACUCAAUACCUAAAACUCACCUGAAUCUCUUCAUCAUCACUGUGAAUCGAAGGCAGAAAUCUCAGAUUGUUUCUUCAACAAACUGCUGUAUGGCACCGAGCACAAGAGUCCUGCUCCCGGAUGAGGUGCCCAGGAACCACAAUAGUGCCAGAAUUAGAACUAUUUUAAGUCUGGAUUUUAAGAGGUCUGGAUUUAACAAUGCUUUGCUAUGUAUCCACAGUAAAGAAACAGCAAACAACACCUAAAUAUUUCAGAGUCCUCAUCUGUAUAAAAUUAGAUUCUUCCACUUUCCUCCCUGUCAAAACUUCAGCAAAGAGGGGAAUCUCUGUGCCCUGGGAAGCUUAGCUGUGAAUGCUUUCAGCUAUUCCAUCGCUUGUGUUAUAGCUUGGUGCCUACAGUCACAAUUAAUUAAUAUGUGUAUGCAUUAUCUCCCACCAGGCUGGCUGCAAGAACGCUUUCUGGCCUGGGAAGUAUUUCUGCCUCAUUUGCAGUGACUCCCAGACUCACACUCUAUCUCUAAAUAUAAUAUAUGCCGAUGUAAUUUAUUUACGACUAGUUCAGAUGCUAAACUGACGAAAGAUGAUGAAGAAACCCAGUAUAACCAGUGGAGAAGCUGGUCCUCUCAGCAUGCAAUUACUUAUCCAUGCCACACCAAUAUUGAUACAUGGGUAUCAAACCUAUACAGAUGUGACGUUUAGACAUGAAAAUGACAAUUACCUUUAUAAAUGCAGUGAAUUGAGUUAGGUGAUUGAUUAGAUUAGACUGAUAAAUGAUAGAUGGUGGUAAACAGAUUUGGCAGAGCAUCCCAGGUUUCUUUUUCACAGCCCUAAGUGUCAGUGUAAAUUGUUUUUAACAUAAUUCUGAAUCUCCAAGUCUGGCAAUGGGUAACAAAUCAGCUUGCAUCCCUUGGCUGGUGGCCUCAUCUGUGCCUUCUGGCACUCUUUUCUGUGCCCCUCUGGUUUGAAUACAGCUACCAUUCUGGGAGAUAUAGAAGGAAAUUUAAACACAAUAGAGGAAGGGAAGCGAUUAAGUGACUCAGAUACAAGUAUGGGAAUGAACGUCUAAGUUGCAAGAAAUAGACAUUAAAAGCUGUCAAGAAGAUACAGUCAGCAAAGAUAUAUUACAAUACUGUUAAUUUAGAGACACUGAAGACCGGAACCACUUCGACUCCAAGUUUUUGGCCCCGACUCUUGCCCAUAGUGUUUCUUUCCCUAUCCUGCACCUCCAGGCUCCAGCUCCCAUGCCGUAAAGGCAAGAGUGAUACAGCUGGAAGCUGCGAGUCUCACUCCCAGCCCCAGACUUCUGCCACAUCUCAGAGUCAGCAGUGUGACACAUGCCUCCAGUCAGCCAUGUCCUACUGUGAAAUACCUUCCUGCUAUGGAAAAGCAACCUCUAGUUCAGGUGGAAAGUAACGUCAUAGGAAACAGCAUCUGUGUUCACGAGGACUUAUCUCUCAGAGCCAUGAGAAAGCCUGGAUGGGUUCAUCUCACCAGCUGCGGGUACCUCGUUGCAGCCUGUACACAAGGCUCCUUCCAGAGCCAGUGCAGAGAGACAAGGAGGUCCAUGGGGUAAUUAAUUCAGCCCUAGAUGGUAUCCAGGACUGGGGACAGCUUCAGGGGACACUGGUCUUUCUCUACUUUGUGCUGUGGAAGGCCUCUAGCUAGCUGGUUUGGACUUGCUUGACUUACAGACGGCUGAAAUCAGGUAAGAUAAAUGCCAUGUGACGUUAAGGCAGGCCUUUGGGCCGUAUUUCUGAACUAUACAGGCACUCGGUGUGAAUUUUAAUAGUACCUCCCCACUCAGCACCCAUUCCCGAGAUUUAGUCUUGCCUGGCAGAGAUUGCUUUGGAGGAUUACUCAUGCUUUUGAAAGUACAACAAAAAGAUCCUUAGGUCUGCAGAGAUAAUUGUUGCUUGGACUCAUACUUGCUGUCUGUCCAAGCUUAUUCCAGUGCCUCUGAGUUUUAGGGUAACGCCACAGCAAGGAUUAAAGAUUUCCCUUCUCAUUACAACAGCUCUAGUAGAAUCUGAGUCAUCAAUCAUGCUUUCUCCAGAGUCUCUUUAUGCUCUGAAGCUGAUUAGCUGUUGAAAUAAUCCAGCUUUGAUGGCAAGCAGUGCUUUAUUAAUACCGCAACUGACUGCUUGCCUCCCAUCAUUUGUUUUUAAUGGAUCCCAUGCUUCUUUGUUCCUUCUCCUGCCUGUGGAGCUCUCAGGAAGGUUUGGUAAAUAACCAUAUGCUUAGACACACUCUGCAUCAAAACAAAGCCGAAAAUGCAAAUGGUGCUUGUUGGGUUCUGGUUUUAGGAUCUUUUCAAAGUGUGUGAUCUGACAGUCUUUCUUCUGCAGCUGAACGCUACACAGGCAUUUAGUGUCUUCAUCUGCGCAGGGAGCUGCUGGGUCCUAGGUGGCCCGUGAUUCCCGUGCAUGGUCUCCAUCUGUCCCUGGUCUGCAUGAGGAAUAUCCACGGAGCUGGGAGCGAUCUUUCACGCAGACCCAGGGAGGGUCUGUGCACAUGACCGUGGUCACCAGAUGAGAGAGAGGAUCGGCAGGAGCCCUGCUUCAGCCCGAGGGGACUGAGCUCCGCAGGAAUGAUGCGCAGGCCAGAGAGCUGGAGAGACCCGGCCCGACACGGAGCCCCUGAGCGGUCAGCAGCACCAGCACCUUUCAGCCACCCUGUAGCCCCUCACCGGCCUUUUGCUGCCCUAGAAGUUCUUUACUCUGCAUGUUACCACAAACACAGACUUCCUUUAGAUGCAGCAAAAUGAGGCUUUCUUUCCCAUGUUAAUUAAGCAGCACCUAAGUGGCAAAACUUGUAGCUGAACAGUAAGGCAGCAGACAUUAACUGGCUUUAAAUUAGCCUAAAAACCCUUCAGAUUGCACCUGACUGAGCAAUGGUUUUACCUUCCAUCUACGAGAAGGCAACAGCUCUUCUGAGGCUAUAUGGUCACCACCUUACAUUUGGGGAAGCUGCGGAGAAAGGUGACGGCUGCUUUCGCAGGCAGACCCACAGCCAGAGCGGGAAUCGACUGGGUUUCAGCUCUGCUGGGCUGGCUGCCCUCAAAGCAUGCAGCGUACCUUCAAAUCGGUUCUUUCUGCAGCUGAAUGCAGAAUUACAGGUUUUUUGAAGUAUUUAAUUUAAGAGGCUCAAAGCUUUGUCAACAUACUUGAAGUGUUUUGGGGUAAUAAAACUACCCAGUGAUACAAUGUCUCAUUUAUAUGUAAAUUGUGAAGAAAUUAGGGAACGCAAAGGACUACUAUUACAGACAUUACAUAGAUAAUAAAUAGUUUGCAUACUUGCUUUCUUAAAAUCCUUUUUGCCAUAUUUCAGCUGAGAUUAUAAAAAGAAAUGAGUGUUUUGGGUGUGCGACUUGCUGGCCAGAUCCUCAGAGCUCAGUGUAGUUUCAAAACCGAGCUCUUUCCAUGUGCCUUGAGGCUGGGCAGCCAGAAUCAUCAAUCAUUUUUUUCAGCCUAAGCCGUUGAUUUUAAAUACGUAUUCAAGCCUCCCACUGAUAUCAAGAAACACCGCUUUCACACAUCCUGAGGUGAAAGGAAGCCCUCAGCUACAGCGUGCCCCAUCGUUCUGGACCUGAGAUGAGAUGGCUUUGAGAUGUGAAGACAUGGGGAUGGGGAUCAAAGAUCAAACUGGAUUAACGCCUCCUCUUUGGUGGGAUUUGAACCCGUGUUUGCAGAAGGGAGAUGCUGGCACGUUCUGCCCCAGGAAGGCACCAAGCACAGCCCGUGGGGCAUGUUGUCGGUGCCCCAGAGUUGUGAGGCUCAGAAUAGCUCUCGAUGGAGGCCCAUGAAAUCUGCAGGACACAGAUAAAUUGUGAAGGUGCUACCUGAGGGGAAUAAUGCCAGAGAAAAAGUGGCCAGGGGAAUGUCACCAUCAGUAGCUUUCCAGUGCUCUCCAUCUGAGCAAAACAAGCGUUUGCAGGCUGUUGGAGUAGAAGACUACUAAUACCUUCAGGUUAUUGCGCAGGGUGAGGCAAGACUGGGCUAUUUACCUUGUCAUCUUCUGAUGAAACAGGGUAAAGGACAGCUCUGUGCCAAUUUACUUCAUCACAGUCCCAUUCAGUUACUGCUAGUGCAGCUGGGAGGUUGAAGAUCGCAGCCGUCAGCAGGGCAAUCUCUUGCCAAGAGCAAUCAUCUCCCCGGCUCUGGUUGCAAGGCCGGAAAGGCUAGCGAGUCCCUCAAACCGUCACGGCAGCCCUGUGGCACUGAAGUUAAUUUCAGGGAUUAUAAUUGCGGCAGGCGAGCUCCCAGAAACCGGGCACGCCUCUCGCCCUGCCAGGCUGUCCUGGCACCGCCUCGAAACCAGCUCGUUGCGGCCGGAGUCGGGCACGGAGCAGCCCGGCGAGCCUCCCGGCCCUGGCCACGCGCGGGACCCCGCUGUCACUUAGGAGAAGACAAACAGCCCAAACCACGCCGGAUCGGCAAGUGACCCCCCUCUUGCCAUUCCUCGUGUGCUGGUACCACCAGUCUUCGGCAGAAAGCUGCCAGUUCGUUUCGAGCAUCGCUGAUGCAGAGGGCUGGUUUAGAAAGGUGGUGAUACAAAAGGCACUAUCAAAAGUCUCUGAUGUUUCUUGCAGCUGGAAACUAAAAAAAAAAAAGAAGGUGGUACACAUCCUUAGUCCUGUUCUAGAGGGAGCAGGAGCAAGAGGAGCGAGACCAAGGAAGAUCGCAUCUGAUAUCAGGUUUUUUAUAAACUGUCACUGCCUGGUUUUGCUCUAUACUUAUGGAUUGCAUAGGUAAUGUUAAUGGCUAACUAUCUUUGGAAAGGCAACAGGUAUUUGAUAAUCCUACACAGGUUAUGUGAGUAGCACUUUUCUAUUGUAGGGUGCUGUUUUUAUUGAGAGGACUUUUUUUUUUUUUUAUGGGAUAGAAGACAGUAUUAUUGUGAUGUUCCUUAGCACAAUAAAAUUCUCUGUAACACAGAGGAUUUAUAUAAUUAUGUAACACGAUCUGGAAAAGUAUUAAAGUACUAAAUUAAGAAUCGGGUGGAGACAAUCCCCACUGAGAUGCUGAGAUAAUGUCUAAGCAUAUUAAUACUGGAUAUCUUAUUUUUCUCCCAAUAUCUUGAGAGGAUCCUAUUGCACAUUUUCUUUCCAGUGGAGAUGUAAAGAAUAGAGGAAGGGACAAAGACUGUGCAGCAUUAUCAGCAGGAUUUAAUUGAUCCAACCAGCAUGAUGAAGAGGCUCUUGUAUAGUCAGUGUGGGAGAAAUCUUUGUGAGCUAUUAGAGAAUAAAAUCCAGAUCAAUUGGUGUCCUGUAGUUUCAGCUGCCUGAAAGCAGGUAGGUGAUCAAGAUAAGUCUGGCUCUUUGAGUCUGUGAAACCAAGCAGUUCUCAAGAGACCUGAGAUUUAUCUUGCUCUCUUUGUUAUGUCUGCAGCCACUGAAGGGUUUAAGCAAGAGAUGGGUCCUGACCAUGUUAAUGCACAAGUUGCCAGUGGCCCAUCCUUGGCCGACUGUGGAGCAAAAAUCACACACGUCAUGUUCACAGCCAGUUACCCGAGCCCGGAUGAUAAGCAGCGACCUAGAUGAGGUCUCGUAUCUCAAAUGUUUAAGGGUUUUAAUGAGUCUUUAAUAACUUGGAGUCUUUGAACGGGCCUCAUAGGGAAAACUCAGUUGCAUUCCUCAAUCCAGACAGCAAAUGCAAAGAUCGCACUAUAUUAUUUAAAACGUUUGUAAUGCCCUAACACAGGGGUUUAAAUGGUGCUCAGGUGAUGGAGAAGGCUUUACACAGAGCUUGAAUUUCACCCCCAGAUAACUGUAAUGUUGAGUGUCCCAGUGCGAGGUCAGCCCUUGGGGAGGGGAGCAGUGUGGGUGGCGGCUGGGGCACCCGGGGACGGCUGCACGAGGGUGCUGCACCAUGCCUGCUCCCCUACCUGCCUUGUUCCUGCUUGCAUGCCAUGCUUUUGGCUCUCUCCACUUCUUUUUAUUUAAUUAUAUGUAUUUUAAGGAAAACAAAACACUAGAGGGAAUCUAAUUACAAGGAGUUUAUUGACUUGAACCUCCUUCACGGCAGACUCCUAACCCCAGUCAUCUUUCUGAUGAGCCAGAAGAGGUGGAGAACUGUUUCUUGUGUUUGGAGACACUUUGACCCUGAUCUGAUUUAAUUGGCCUCUUGCAAUAAUCUAGCAUUUACCAAGAGCCAAUUUAAAGGAGCUACCAUCUGAUUUUUUUCCCCAACAGAAGGAUUAACCCCAUUAACCAGGAACUCUGCGUGACACGUUCAUAACCUCAGAAACAACGUAAUCCUCUCUCCCACUCUGCCAUCUCCUUUUCUUCUUUUGCAGCAAGUAGGAAUCACUAUGGCAGGCUGGGCGCGAGGUUCCCGGGUCUCUCUCUCUCUGCAGGAUCCGGGUGAUUUUGGGGCAGGCUGUGGGUGUACGUUGUGCUCAGAGCAGGGCGGGGAGGUGGCAGGCGGCUGUCUCGCGGGGCUCGGGGAUGCCGUGGCACUGUGGGACGUGGCCGUGAGUCAUGGCUUGGCUCACGUCCUCCUCACCACUUGCCCAAGCUCCCAGAUUUCUGCCUCUUCCCCCUCAGCCUGCUGAUGGGACGGCACAGCAGAAGCUCAUGUUCCUUUCAAAGUGUCUCAUAAAUUGGUUUUGCAUGUUUAAAGAGCGCAAUUUAGUUUUUGCAGUGCAAAGGCCCCUUGCGAGUCCAGAAUCCAGGUGCUGGUGCCUUAUGCGUCCCUAAUAGAAAGCUGCUGGUGACACAGCUGCGAGGAGACGAGCUGCAGCUGCCUGCAGCAUAAAGCUGCAUGCGUGGGUGGGAAGUGGGUAUUUGGGAGGGCUGCUGAGGUGCUGAGCACCUUUUCUGCUCCAGUGUCCUGUCUGCAAGAAUGGUUUCAGUGCUGUGAGUCUGCCUCUAACCUGCUCAGCAACUGUCCUCUCUGGUAGUCGCUUCUGUGUGUGCAUGGGGGGAACCUGUGAGCAGCUAUGAUUUGCUUAGGCAGCUGUUUUUCUGCCGCUUGAAAAUAAAUAUUGAGGUUUUUUUAUUGAUGAUGGGUUGCAGGUUGUUUAGAGGCUGGGUCACAGCCAGUGUCAGGCGCUUUGCACUGCAGGGCUGGUGAAGCUGGAGGGUUGUGCACAGGGAAUGCCAGAGGGAGGGAGUUCUGGGGAGCCCUGGCUGCAGUUUUCCUUAAGCAAGCUUUUAAACAUCUGAGUUAUUUUUAAAAAGCUGUAAGAAAUAACUAAUAAUUAGGAGAGAUGGAGUUAUUCCAAUUUACUAAUGAAAUGGUAUUCUUUCCAGCUAAGAACUGAGAUGCAUAAGGAUGUCAAAUCUGUAAAAGGAACAGAAGGUAGAUGUCUCAGGCAGCCUAAUUUUAUACACUAUAAUGCCUUCCUUAUCAUUAAUAGCACCAUCCUACACUAAAAAAGUGCCUUGUCUUCCCAAAGGACAUGAGACUGUGUUACCACUGUUGGCCUAGUCCUGAGGGCAGAUAAAUUGAUAACGACUUUAGUAAGAAAUUAGUCAGAUGCAAGCCAGCACAGGGUGAUGCCUCCUCCUGAGGCUGCAAAGCAGCCCCUGGUAGGGUGGGACAAAGCUGAAGUUCAGUCCCAACAACUCAUAGCUGAUUAGUGGAAGCUGUGUAGAGAGAGGCUGACCUGCCCUUUGGGUUAUGGGAGCAAAACAAAGCAGGAGACCCUAACUGCUGCUGGGUGGAAAGAAAAUAUAUUGUUUUUAGCUCCAAAGUUUCAGCAUUCUCUUGUGAAUUUAGAAUAGAAAGUGUAUUUGCCAUAUGUUCAGUUCCAAAAGAGCUAGGUCUCUGGAGGACCUGGUUCCCUCUGUCGCUUUGGAUGGAGGAGGACUGCUUACAAAUUUCUUUGCUUUUCCCUCUUCUGUUUUCCUUGUCACACUUGCCAUUGAACUAGCAUUGAUGUUUCUUUGCCAUCUGGUUUUAGGGCUUUUUUUUUUCCCCUCUGGGGACUGGGAGGGGGAAAAAGAUCCAGGGUGAAACAAGAUGUUUGUGUUGCUAGACCAGCAGUCAAGAAAGGGAACGGGGGAGCCGACACUGAAAUACUUUGCCAAGGCACUCCAGGCUUUGCAGAGAGGUUUUACAUCUUGCAAUUAGGAGAGGAAAUCUCUGCCCUCUGAGGUGGUUGCUUCUGGCACAGCUUUGACACAAUUUCCACACUGGCCGCUGCAGCAGCGAGGCAUGGUGGUAGCCAGCCCAGGAACUGCUGAUCUGCAGCUUGCUGUUUUACUCAUCUCUCUAGAGGCCAAGAAAUGUUCAGACAAAUGAGCUUGUCCAUUUUAAGGACUAGAAGGAAGUUCAAAGCUCCCUACGGACCAACAACCUCUCGUGGUUUAAGGUAGGGCUUGGUAUGUUUAUGGAUGAGGCUCCUCUGAAGGGAAGGAGUUGGCCUUGCUGGCUGGGAGACUUUCCCCUGCUCCUGUUGCAUUCAUCAGGGCUCGUUAGGGUUUGGACGAGCCUGGGAGGCUCGAUUUUCCAUCGGGAGGAAUUCUCAGCCCGAGCGACAGUAAAAUAGAGCUUCUUGCGAGAACUUCAUGCAAACAAUUUGUGACAUUUGUAAUUGUAUCACACGAUUUCUUGCAAUGUAUCACAUUUCCCAGAAACUUCUUUCUUUCCAACUUAAAUCAAACAUCUUAAAAAUUCAGUCUGUUCCUGCUGACCUUGUGCAGCUGAGGAAAGAGGUCGUGGCUGAUGCUGUCAGCUGCAGUGAUUUCAGACAGUGAGUGUAGUGUAAGCAGAAAUUUAUACUUUUUAAUUUGGUUAGAAGAUUAUGUUAAAUGCCCAGAGAAAAGGCUCGGUUGGAGCCUGGCCAGUUAGUACACACGCAAAGUCCCUUCAGCAGGGGCAAAGCUGGGGGCUGACAUCAGGCAGGCUAGACGAGACCGUGGGUGGACACACAGAUGAGCUUCUGGGAUGACAAGAAAAGGAGAAAUGAGCAUGAACAAGAUCAUCCACUGAUCCUUCACACGAUGCUAAUUUAUGUAAAUAGCACUUGGCUAUGUAGCUAGACCUGGCAUUUUCUCCUCUGCCGUUUGCCUCCCGAAGUCCCUCGCAGAGCGAUCGGGUUGUGACUUCGCAUAGCAAGAGCUUUGCUUCUCCCAGCUCCACAUGCCAGAUACUUGUUUGCUUGUCGGUGUGGGCAAUUUAAUUACCAAUUCCCAGGGCUAAUAUACAAUACCAGGCAAUUACACUGCAUUGUAUCGCACUUACUGAAUAAGAUUACAUGUGACUUAUAUUUAAUUUCAACUCAAUUUCUAAUUUUGCCGUGGCGGAGUUACGUGAUCAAACAGGGCUGUGGAUGUUAUCUGCCGCGUGUGUGCUGCACUGAAAGGCUCCUCGUUCAUCUUCUGCCUCCUUCUCCCCAACUCUGUUGCUUGUGUCCACACAAGUGUCUCCAGGAUCGAUAAUUCUUACUGUUCUCAGAGGAUGUUUGAAAGAUGCCAUGUCAAUCUCUGCUCCCCGAGCAAAGCCCCGUGGAUGUUCCCGGGACUGUUUUGGCAGUCUCACCGAGCUCCUCCCCACCAGCUCGGCACACAUAAGCAGUAUUCCGGGUAACUUACCUGCGCAGCCAGCCUCCGAAUUGCUCUUUUGAACACAAUUGCUGUUAUUUGUGAAAGCACCGCUCUCAAAAGCAAUAUUUCAUCAUUACUGUAAAACAUCAUCCCUGCAAUUAUCGGAGAGAGCAUCUGUGGGAAUCUUAUGGGAAACAUGGUGACGCCUGAAGCGAGCCCCAGCCUGGUGCUCGGUGCCCGUGGUGCCUGGCAGGGCUGUGCCAGCGUCCCACCCCGCGCUGGGGGACCGAGACUUUGCCUCCGGACCGUGCUGUGGGCCAUCACUGGGUUGGCUUGAAUGAUGAGUCUGGCCAAUUAAAAACAGCACUUCUGGAAGAGAGUGCUGCUUUAUUUCCAGCCUAACUACAAAUGACAGUGCAAUGGGGUGAGGAAUUUCCUCUGCCUUGGAGCUGGCUCUUGCGCUGCCUGCCUUUCUCCCCACUGGCUCUCGCCUUCUGCAAAGGCUUUCCAAACCGGGCAUUUAGCCUUGUGUCUCGAACAAUCAUCCAUGAAACCCACCUGGAUAUUUUUGAGAAAAUCGAAAAGGCUGCAGCUAUAGAGACAUCACAAGGGAGACAUGGCCAGCUGGACAUCACCUUUGCCCAUUUUGUAUUAUGUCGCCUGUGACACCCAUUACGUAGAGCUUCCUGUCACAACAGAGUAGCCAGAACUGGUAAUAUUUGACAGCUAAAAUCUUCUUUUGUGAGGAAAAGAAAAAUCUUAGUUGCAAUGAAUUGACUCCCUUUUAUAAAACAUAAAUAACAACAAAAAAAAUGGGUGCAUCUGUUUUCAGUUUUCCUCCCCUGUCGCCCUUGUCCUCUGGAAACAGUGAACUGAGAAGAGAGAAAGGGAGGGAGGCAGCAUCUAAAAAAAAUCAGAAAAUGAGAAAAUAUCCAUCAAAAUGGAAGGAAACUUCAUACUUCAGGAGGGAAAAUAACAGUUUAAGUUGGAAAAAUCACCUUGACAAACUUCAACCUUCCGCAGCUGCUGCCUGAGGAAGGAGCUUGCAGGAAAUCCUUUGCUUGCUCUUAGAUACACGUGCGGAGAUGUAAAAUCAGUUAAAGACUGUUAGCUUUAUCUGUUUACUCCCCAGAAGUGUUAACUGAAAAAGGGCUCGGUCUGCUUAGACUCAGGGCUGGCCUUCCCUAGAGAAAGAGCUGUUAGAUGCUGAGAUCUUGUUUCCAGAUUUCUUCCCAUUUAAUUUCACAGACUGACUUUAGCAAAUGGGACGCGUGCGCGACGAUUUGGCCACAUGAGAAAUGCAGGGAGCGACGGCCGUGCCGGUGUCGUGUAUUGCACAGCGCGGGCACGCACGGAGGAGGGGAAGGAAGGUUAUUGAGACAUCGCCGGCGAGUUCAGCAACUGCAGCAAAGCCUGAGUGACGUCUUCAGCAGCUCCUGCACUUAAAUGAGGACAAGAUGUAGAUACGGUAAAAGCACGUGAGUGAAGGUAGCUCCAGCCCAAAUCUCUGCUGAAUGCAGUAGACAGGAUGGUUGGCGCUACCUGAUCCUCUCCGGCCAGGUCGCUUGCUUCUUAAUUGUAUGCAAUACUGUAAAAAUUCAAACUAUUCUAAGUCACUAAGAACAGGAUGAAAUGUAAAGUUUUCUGUGACAUUUAUUCAGAAAAGGAUAUUGUUUUUGGGGGCUGCUUGGUUCACAUAUCUUAUUUUUGAAUGAACUGCGCUGCCCCGUGUCGCCUGCUAAGUUAACAAUUUGUGCCAAUUACAGUAAUUACUGUGCUCCAGCAGCAGCACUGCUGCCCAGACGUGUUCAAGGAGUGGCUUUGCUUAAAUGAAUGAGAAUACCCUGAACCUGCAAAAACAUUUGUGGAUAUUGAAUAAUUUAAUUUUCUGAUUCUGCUAAUUCAAUGUUGAAACACAGAUAAUCUCCUUCAUUAAAGGAGCAGUAGGAAAAUGGGAAAGGACUGACACUUUGCGAAUGAACCAAGGCUUUGUAGCCACGCUGGGAGAAUUCGGUUGUGCAGUAUGCGAACGUACGUCUCCUCUGCAAUCUGCAUGUAGCCCCAGGGCAGGACCCAAGGCGAGGGCAGCACGAGAGCAGGUCGCUGCCAUCCUUGCAUCGGCGGUGUGUCUUUGCAGCCCCCCUUGCUUUGGGCACACUUCCCGCCAGCGCCCAGGUUUGCAUCUGCUGGAGAAGAGCCCGGUGGAGGUUGUCCCCCCCCCUCCCACCCCAGCUGUGCGUGCAGCUCCAGGGCAGGCUCCUUCUGCAUUUCUUCUCCCUGCAAAAGAUCGAAUAAGCCUUUGCUUCAAAGGAGGCAGUCAGAAAGUGCCUCUCUUAAUAACCAGCUGCUUAGAUGUGCUACUUUUUGUCUCGUAAUGCUCUUUCACUCUUUUCACAGCAGUUUUCCAUCUCUGAGCAGAGCCUGUGUGACUCCUGUUGAUGGAUGUUUGUUCUCGAGGUCGUGAUCUUUUAGCCAGGAUUUUACACGGAGCCCUUUUCUUCCCUUGCACCUUUGUAUUUUAACAAGAAGUUGUUGCUUGAAAAGGAAGGGUGAGAACAGUACUGAAUAGUCCACUUAAUAAAUGGAAACGCAGCAAGGGCGCUGGAGGACGUGGUACGCUGGAGCUUCCAAAUUAUGCUGGAUGUGAAGCAGGGAGAUUAUUCUGGAUGGGUCCACUUGAUUUCUCGCCAAGGUCAAGACUGUGGCUUUCUGAUGAGGAAGUGGCUGCUUGAAUUGCUUCAUCAACUAUUUACUUCAGGUUUAAUGACACCUCAGUGUUAUUUUUCCUCUGUCUGUUCUGGAGUCAUUUGCUGCUUGUCACUCCAUUUGCCUCUGCGGAGGUCACCCGUGUAGCUCUGAAAGGCAACAUAUAUUCAGAGUUCUGGCAAGGCCGUGCUACGCUUUGCCUCUUCAUCUGUUAGCGUUGCUUUGCAGUUUUAAAAUAAUUAUUUCUCUCCCUCGGGGAGGUGUUUGCUCUCUG